This 253-nucleotide ribosomal RNA is filed under the name uncultured bacterium. RNAcentral describes it as "partial 16S ribosomal RNA". It matches the Rfam family "Bacterial small subunit ribosomal RNA", at positions 524 to 776 of the family's 1533-position model. The record is from RNAcentral.
UACGAAGGGGGCUAGCGUUGUUCGGAAUCACUGGGCGUAAAGCGCACGUAGGCGGAUUUGUUAGUCAGGGGUGAAAUCCCGGGGCUCAACCCCGGAACUGCCUUUGAUACUGCAAGUCUCGAGUCCGAUAGAGGUGGGUGGAAUUCCUAGUGUAGAGGUGAAAUUCGUAGAUAUUAGGAAGAACACCAGUGGCGAAGGCGGCCCACUGGAUCGGUACUGACGCUGAGGUGCGAAAGCGUGGGGAGCAAACAGG